UUCACAGUCUCCUUUAGGAUGCAGGGCCAAAAAUGGUGUUCAACUGCAGGCCAGGUCACAAGUGCCCUUCUACACUCGUAGGACGGGAAAGUGCCCUGACUGGGCAGGACAGUGGCAAAAUUCCUCUGACUGAGCAAGAAUUGGGUCCCUUUUGAUAUGAUGGCAAAAUGAUGAUCUAUGCACUGUGGGAGAAAAUUGGGGAAGUAGAAGGGAAUAAACCCAAAUACCAGAGGGACAGGCUGGGCUCCCAGGCACUAAGAUUAUGGGCAACUUAGACCCUAAAUAUUUUCUUUGUCAUAAAUACACUUGAAAAGAGCUUGUAGAAAGAAAUUCUUAUAAAUUUGAUGCUUAGGUAG
RNAcentral lists this long non-coding RNA (356 nucleotides) under Androctonus crassicauda. Lineage: Eukaryota; Metazoa; Arthropoda; Arachnida; Scorpiones; Buthidae. The record is from RNAcentral.